Molecule: small nuclear RNA, 136 nt
Filed under: Glycine max (soybean)
Lineage: Eukaryota; Viridiplantae; Streptophyta; Magnoliopsida; Fabales; Fabaceae
Description: U4 spliceosomal RNA
Rfam family: U4 spliceosomal RNA
About the family: U4 small nuclear RNA (U4 snRNA) is a component of the major U2-dependent spliceosome. The structure of U4 snRNA from yeast and human has been reported. U4 snRNA presents a k-turn RNA motif in the 5p-SL related to recognition of Snu13 protein.
Source: Rfam by way of RNAcentral
AUUCGUCUCUGCGCAGUCAGUGAGGUUCUAACAGGAGGCGCGUCUAUUGCUGGUUGAAAAUUAUUUCCAAACUCCAAACCCCCUCGUAGGCCUGGUGCUGCACAGGCUUUCGAGAAUUUCUGGAAGGAUUUCAUUU